This is a non-coding RNA of Kogia breviceps (pygmy sperm whale), 839 nucleotides long. The record is from RefSeq and is a predicted model, not a curated record. Lineage: Eukaryota; Metazoa; Chordata; Mammalia; Artiodactyla; Physeteridae.
CUGCACUGAUUGCACCUACCGAUUUUGAUGAAGUGUUUACUCACCUCCCCUCAACCUUUCCUGGAAUAGCUACAUUUAAUAGCGCAAGGUCACAAAGUCUGAGAAGAAAAUCAUACGAGAACUUCAGCCUGAACCAUGUCACUCCGGGUAAUCUGGAUACUAAGAACCAAACAAAAUGCACUGACUAAAAGCAGCGUGGAGUUCCUCGGGUUUAUUUGGCCUCUGCCCGCUCUCAGAGACACGUGAGUUUGCAGUGAUUGACUGCAGUUUCAUAUUAACGGAACAGCUUGGAGACAGAAAUCAUCCUCAGGCCUUAAUCGCAGGGAAAUCAGAAAAACAACUUCCUCUAAAGCUAUUUACAGGGUGGCAGAUGUGAAGGUAUGUCUUGGAUUGGACACAGCAUAACGAACAACUUUUUGAAAUAAGCUCAAUUUAGAAUGAACAGAAUUCGCAUUAUGGACUAAAAAGUGUUCUUCGUCAAUAAAGACUUUGGAUUCUUGUCAGGACGUUCCCAGGAUUAGAGUGACACUUGUCUACAUUCAAAGAUGCCUUAGAAGAAACUCAGCAGGCAACCACCUUUGAUAGGAGCUGCUGUAAUUCACCUGACCAUUGAGAACCUGGAAAUCCUGCAAUCCACAGCCACGCUUCUUGAGCACAACUUCUUGUUUCCGAGGCAAGAAAAUGUUUUCUUCCCUACCAUAGCCUCACUGGAUGCCCAAACUGGGGGUCCUUGAUGACACACUUUUCUAAUUUUCCUGAUUGUAUUUGAAGCAGUUUCAAUAGUGGCAUAUAAUCGCAACUUUCCUACUCGUUGGGACAUCGUAGGCAAGUUUUUCUUU